GACGAACGCUGGCGGCGUGCCUAAUACAUGCAAGUCGAGCGGACGGAUGGGAGCUUGCUCCCAGACCGUCAGCGGCGGACGGGUGAGUAACACGUGGGCAACCUGCCUGUAAGACUGGGAUAACUCCGGGAAACCGGGGCUAAUACCGGAUAACUCUUUCCCUCACAUGAGGGAAAGCUGAAAGAUGGCAUCUCGCUAUCACUUACAGAUGGGCCCGCGGCGCAUUAGCUAGUUGGUGAGGUAACGGCUCACCAAGGCGACGAUGCGUAGCCGACCUGAGAGGGUGAUAGGCCACACUGGGACUGAGACACGGCCCAGACUCCUACGGGAGGCAGCAGUAGGGAAUCUUCCGCAAUGGACGAAAGUCUGACGGAGCAACGCCGCGUGAGUGAUGAAGGUUUUCGGAUCGUAAUACUCUGUUGUCAGGGAAGAACAAGUACCGGAGCAACUGCCGGUACCUUGACGGUACCUGACCAGAAAGCCACGGCUAACUACGUG
RNAcentral lists this ribosomal RNA (498 nucleotides) under uncultured bacterium. Its description in RNAcentral is "partial 16S ribosomal RNA". It matches the Rfam family "Bacterial small subunit ribosomal RNA", at positions 28 to 507 of the family's 1533-position model. The record is from RNAcentral.